GGAGAUAUACUCAAAGAGCACAACUCAUGUUUCACGCGUUGGUUCAAGCAGAAGCUUCUGUUGUACCCUUUACAUGAGGAUUCUUCCGCGGAAGAACAACUCAUAUUCGCCUUGUCACAGGGCGCCGAGCACAACCUGAUGACCUAUGAGGCGUACGAUAUCAAUGGCGACACAUUCUACACCGAGGCCAAGGACAUGAAGAGCGAUGGUUAUCAGAACUCCGGGGUAACGAUGGAAUCCUACACCGGUAACGACAAGGACAGAUACUACGGAAGGAUCAAGGAGAUCUGGGAACUGAGCUACGCUGGAGAGAAGGUCCCGAUGUUCCGUGUCAGAUGGGCCAAGAGCGUCCAAAAAGAAGACCGGUAUUUCACCACCAUGGUUAUACCCGAAGCCAAAUCCAAGACCGCGGGCGCAAACGUCACCGCGAAAAAUGAGCCAUGGGUACUG
Molecule: ribosomal RNA, 450 nt
Filed under: Triticum aestivum (bread wheat)
Lineage: Eukaryota; Viridiplantae; Streptophyta; Magnoliopsida; Poales; Poaceae
Description: partial small subunit ribosomal RNA
Source: RNAcentral